Molecule: unclassified non-coding RNA, 273 nt
Filed under: Hevea brasiliensis (rubber tree)
Lineage: Eukaryota; Viridiplantae; Streptophyta; Magnoliopsida; Malpighiales; Euphorbiaceae
Source: RNAcentral
GGCAUAUCUCAGUAUUUCAUAAAGUGUCCAUCCAUGCCAAUAAUCUUGAUCGAUGGUAAGCAACUUCGUGAGAGCAUAGGAACCCGCCGCAAGAACAAUGGUCGCAUUUAUAAUCCGAUCAAUCAUAACCCUCUCCAUUUCCCCGUUCUCCGUUCCACCGCCAUCGCCAACAGAAGCAGAAGAAGAAAACCCCUGAAUUUCACCAGCGCCUCCCAACGAGAGCUCGCCGAAACCACCUACCGCACUCCCCAGCUCUCCCUCCACUCCAUCCCU